Molecule: long non-coding RNA, 174 nt
Organism: Cyprinodon tularosa
Lineage: Eukaryota; Metazoa; Chordata; Actinopteri; Cyprinodontiformes; Cyprinodontidae
Exons: 2
Source: RefSeq, a predicted model, not a curated record
CAAGCCGAAACCCGACACUCAGCCAAACUCAAUCUCUGUGGGCUCAUCCAAUCUCCCCUCCAUCUGCUCCGCUCUCCAUCGACCUUUCCUGAUUAAGCUGCUGUUUCCUGAGAAUCUUCGCCGAUCCAAAAACUAUCUCUCUGUCAAAACUUUUCAAUAAACUAUCUAAACCGC